CGAACGGGUGAGUAAUGCGUGACCAACCUGCCCCAUGCUCCAGAAUAGCUCUUGGAAACGGGUGGUAAUGCUGGAUGCUCCAACUUGACGCAUGUCUUGUUGGGAAAGUGUUUAGUGGCAUGGGAUGGGGUCGCGUCCUAUCAGCUUGUAGGCGGGGUAAUGGCCCACCUAGGCUUCGACGGGUAGCCGGCCUGAGAGGGCGGACGGCCACAUUGGGACUGAGAUACGGCCAGACUCCUACGGGAGGCAGCAGGC
RNAcentral lists this ribosomal RNA (255 nucleotides) under uncultured Gardnerella sp. Its description in RNAcentral is "partial 16S ribosomal RNA". It matches the Rfam family "Bacterial small subunit ribosomal RNA", at positions 99 to 354 of the family's 1533-position model. The record is from RNAcentral. Lineage: Bacteria; Bacillati; Actinomycetota; Actinomycetes; Bifidobacteriales; Bifidobacteriaceae.